CAGUGCUAGCCAGAGAGUUACAGAAAUCCCCUUGAACCAUGCACUGUGGAAGGCUUGCAGUCCUGUGCCUUUUCAUAGUAAGUCUAUUUUUGUACAUUUUUCUUAAUUGCUCAUUUCCUCAAAAGUGAUACUGGAAGGUACUUCACUACUCUGGCUGUUUUGAACUUUACUCUACCUGUACUUUGUAAGGAAGGCAACUACUGGCUAGGAGUGGACCAUCACAGUAAUGUUAAGAAGUGUACUUGGUGGCAAACACUGAAAGGCAAGGUUCCUGAGUCUAUUCCUGACUUUAUGAAUUGAGCUGAAACCCGUCAAAGUCACUGAGGGCUUCUGACCUCAUUAGAAAUAGGAAUGACAGGUUGGUCAUUCCUAUUCAUCACUUUGAUCCCUGGAGUCUUCAAUCCCUGCUUAUGGAAUAACUAAUAACAUAUAUUAUUAGUUAUUAGUAUGGAAGAACUAAUCCUGGCAAAGAUUUCCAUGCACAUGAAGGACACAAAAAUCACUGGGAAUCAUCAGUAUGGAUUCAGCAAGAGAGGAUUCACAAGCUGCAAAACAGGAGGUUUUAUCUGUACAGAAGGAAACACUGAUUGACUGUGAUGGUGAGUGACCAACCACUGGCACAGGCUGCCCAGAGAGGUUGUGCAGUCUCCCUUCCUGGAGACACUCAAAGGACAUCUGAAAAUGGUCACCUAGGUGACCUGACUCUUGAUAUCCCUGCUUGAGCAGGAGGGUUGGACCAGAUGACCUCCAGAGAUCCCUGCCAAUCUCAACUGUGGUUCCCUGAUUCUGUGAAUUCUGACAGCCAGCAUUCAAUGACAAGCAAAAGACAAGCAGCUGAGUAUCAGGAACUACGUAACUAAAUCUGUUUGGGGCCUUAGUGUUGAUCUGAUUUUUUUACUAUUAUUAUUUUUUAUUUUUUUUUCCUGAUGUUAAGACUAUUCUGGACUAAGUGCAUCGGUUCAAUAUUUCAGACAUGAAGAAAAUGUGUGUUGGGAGACUCUCAGAAGCAUCUAGAGGAUUUACGAUCAGAACAUAAGGUCUUCUGGAAGUCAAUAGGGCUUCUGCCCCUAAAUCUUUCAGCUAGCUUUUAAACUCACUCCUGCAAACUGUAAAUGGCCAGGAUGGAAGGAAGGAGCUUCUUGGCAGGUGUGUUAGGAAGUCAACAACUAUGCCACUGAGCGGGAGAGGCUGCAUUGAUCUUCUGCACACAGAAACCUCUGCAUAUUUUGCAACUGUUUUAUUGCAGAUUGUAUUUCAGGAAUUCUUUCAGUGGUGACCCACUGACCCUGUUAAUUAUUCAAGAAGUUACAUGACUGACAAGGACUGUAUUUCUUUGAUUGCUGUUACUUGUGAAUUCCCCAAAGUCAGCCUCUCUUGGGACAUAAGUUACCUGUCUCUUCUCUGUGAGCACCUGUGCUGUGGUCAUGUGUAUGCUCAUUGUAAGUAGGACUGCAACACAGCUCCUGGCAAUCUCAGAUGACUGACUGAUUGCAGGUGAGACAAUCACACACAACUGUGGGAUAACUUGUGUCAGAACAGCCAGUGCAAUAUUACUGUCUGGCAUAGUAAAGACAAAAAUUUCCUGAACCAAAUUAUUUGUGUGAGUUUAAAGCUGCACAUAGCUUUCAUUUAAUUUGGAGCUACAUUUUCUUCCCUGUUUGUUUUUCAAAUAAUAUUUAUUAAUUCAAUUUCUCUUCAUCAAAAGUAUGUUCAGAAGUGGUUCUUGAGCACAGGCAGUAACUAGCUGUGCUCCAUGAGCCUGGAUAAACCCGUUGUGAUCACGAUGACCUGUGUAGUUCAAUUGAAUAAGAACAAGCUUUAUAAUGAAGUAAGCCACAAGAAGACUUCAGGUCCACUUGAAAUAGAGAAAAACUAUUUAACAGUCCUUUAUUUUUAAUUCUUAGAAAUGAGCUAUUUUCUCCAUUUCACAAGAACUGUUAUUUACACAUUGGGACAGGCUGACCUUUAUUGAGCAAUGAUUCAUGUUUCGAGGACAUAAAAAAUAAUUUUGAAACUGUAAAAAGGCAGAAGAUGAGUUACAAGCCUUUAAAGUUCCCACAACACGUUUCUAGCUGGGAAAGCAAGUCUUAGAGAGAUCACAAGGCUUAGGUAGUGACAUCCGAAAUCUAGCUGCAUCCUUGUCUGCUGUCUAAGCCUGCCAGCACCUGAGACUUUGAAAUUUAAAUUGCUCUGAUGCCUGAUGGACUUCUCCCCAGGCAUGUCCAGAAGCACUCAGCUCCUGCUGCUGUAUGGAUCAGCUUGUAUAUCAAGCCUAAAGGAUUCACAAACCUGCUGUUUCUUCACCCCACCUUUUUAAGGAGCAUUUCUCAUGUGUGCCUGGAGACACCUGCUUCAUCAGCUUCCAGGUAAAAUGCAGGUUCUUCCUGCUGGAGCAAGGUGGGGCAACACCUCAUCGCUAGAUGGGGGAGAUUGGUCUUAGUUCCCUCAUUUGCUUGGCAGCUUUGCUCUACUCACUAAGCCAGAGGCUCUUUGGCUUGGAGCACAAGUUCAGGAAAAUGCACCAGCUCUCCACAUGAAGCCAUGUCACAGCCAAAAAAAAAAAAAAGAAAAAUUAGAUGAAGACUGAUGUAGGCUGAGAGCAGGAGCUUGACUACAGCCAAGUGGUUUGUGAUCUUCUCCUGGAAUGGCCAUCAAUACUCCAAGGCCUGCUUCUGCAUUUUUAAUAUCACAUUUCCAGCUGACUACCUUAACCUUAAAUUUUAGAGUAGCCUGUGACUGAAUUAUUGCUUAAGUUAAAAAGGAAUAGAAAACCAGCUUCUGUCCUGAAAAACAUCCUAUAGUAGGUAUUUAGGGCACUUUUUGGGGAGAUGUUUUUUGUAGUAUCCCCAAGGAAAAGAGAGAAUAGGAGUCAAGUCCCCUGCAGCCUGUGUAGUGGCUAUUUGGCAUUGAAGGGAAGGGCAUCCCAGCCUGCUUAAACUGUGUUGGAGACAGGAAUGAACCAAGUCACAGCGUAGGCUGUGAAGGUUCAGUGGGGGCAAGGAUUUGAGAUGCACCUCUCUACAGCAUCACCUUUCAGGCAGUUUUUGGCAUCUCCCUGCCCAGCACACUUACUGUUGUGCUUUCCAGUUGGAAGGAUUUAAUUCCCACAGCAUUUCAGUUCCACUAAGGACUCCUCUGCGGAGGUGAAUGGUUACAACUUGGGUGCGGUGAGAAUGGUUAUCCCUCUCCCAUAAAGGAUCUGGACUAAAAGUUCUUGUUUAGAGUAAGGCACAAGUAUUUGACUCUGGAGAAGAAAAGCAAAGAAAAAAAAAAAUCCACCACCCUCAGGUUUAUCCACUUAAGUCUCCCUUCUCUGGUGGAGACUUGCAAGUGAUUCUCUUCAUGCAGAUUCAUGAAGGCUCCUUCUCCCUGAGCAAGCACCUCUGAAGGCUGACGGUGCAGGGCAGCUCUUUAGAGAAGCUCAGAGGAGUGGGCCUAUCAACAUGCAGUUGUGUAAUUCAGAAAAACAAUCUAACUUGUUAUUAUUUAAUGAUAAAUGAUGCAAAAAUUGAUCUUACCAGUGAACAUUUCCCCGAAGAAGCUGCAAAAGGCUUGAGAACAGCUCCAUCUUCUGGAAAUGCAUCAUGAUCAUACUGGGGAGAGCAUAUAUUUGCUUUGCUUUUA
Long non-coding RNA from Anas platyrhynchos (mallard), 3624 nucleotides. RefSeq lists it as uncharacterized. Lineage: Eukaryota; Metazoa; Chordata; Aves; Anseriformes; Anatidae. The record is from RefSeq and is a predicted model, not a curated record.